Molecule: long non-coding RNA, 769 nt
Organism: Branchiostoma floridae (Florida lancelet)
Lineage: Eukaryota; Metazoa; Chordata; Leptocardii; Amphioxiformes; Branchiostomatidae
Exons: 2
Source: RefSeq, a predicted model, not a curated record
AGUCCUGUACCAAGGCAAAACAACAUCGUGUCACCCGAAUAAGUUUAACUUCAAAGAUGAGUGGGACAUCCACCACAACGAGACCCACGGGUCCAACGCCACAAGGAUGGACCUCAAUGCCGACAAAAUCAUUAUCCCUUACGUGGCAGCUCAGCGAGAAGCUCUCGGACUCCCAGAACAGCCAGCCCUGCCAUCUUUGACGUGUACAAAGCUCACCGCUACCCCGCGCUGCUACAGAAGGGAAAGGAACCAGAGUUAUCACGCAUACAUUGCGUGGUAUUUGCAGUGAGAAACUCACUACUGUCCUCAGUGGAACCGCCAGAAAAGGGAACACCUUGAAUCAAUCCUCUCAAUCCGCCUCACAACCUCUUCUAGCCCAGUUAAGUGCACAUCCUGAGCAUUUAUGCUCCCACACUCGGCUCUGGCAGACAGAGAAAAAAAUUGGACGACAACAUUAAAGAAUGUACAGGACUACCCCUUGCCAGCACCCAGGCACUGGCUCGCGACAGGGAGGCAGUGUGCUCAGCAGCAUAGCGCCCCCACGAUCAACCCGAGUCAAGGUACCGGUAACUCGGCUUUGCAGCUAAGACUAAGGACGAGUUUAACGAGGAUCUCGAGACGACAAUCAGAGAGAUCCCAGCCACAGAAGAACUUAACCUUCCCGGGGAUUUCAACAUCCGAGUGGGAGAUGACCAAGGCAAAUAUCAGAACAUUUGUCAAAAUCACCAUGGCAAAGAUCAUGAGUUUUCCAUUAAACGAUUGAUACGGA